CCCCUUAUAUUCCAUGUGCAGAAUAUCAUUUAAAGGUGAAGCUGGAUGGGCCAGCGUCCCCUGGAUCUUCACCUAGUUGCAGUAGAGAGAAUCUGUUAGUCGUGUUCACCAAAGCUUCUGCACUUUAUUGUACACUUUUUCCUUUUGUUUUCCCCUUAUCCACAACCCUGCCUUCUGCAUUCUCAGUUGUUUGUUUAUUGUCCCCAGCUUGCCUACCUUGUUGGUCUACCUCAUCUUCCUUCUUAUCUUUUGGAACCCAUUUCAAAGUCCCUCUCUGUAGUAGUUUCUUUUCCCCUAAUUCCUUUGGUUGAGGCUUUGCUAUCUCUUCUUUUUCCUGCAGCUCC
RNAcentral lists this long non-coding RNA (344 nucleotides) under Nicotiana benthamiana. RNAcentral's name for it is "long non-coding RNA (NBEN_LNC022081)". Lineage: Eukaryota; Viridiplantae; Streptophyta; Magnoliopsida; Solanales; Solanaceae. The record is from RNAcentral.